RNAcentral lists this ribosomal RNA (252 nucleotides) under uncultured bacterium. RNAcentral describes it as "partial 16S ribosomal RNA". It matches the Rfam family "Bacterial small subunit ribosomal RNA", at positions 100 to 354 of the family's 1533-position model. The record is from RNAcentral.
CGGGGUGAGUAACGCGUGGAAAACCUGCCGUAUACUGGGGGAUAACACUUAGAAAUAGGUGCUAAUACCGCAUAAGCGCACAGCUUCGCAUGAAGCAGUGUGAAAAACUCCGGUGGUAUACGAUGGUUCCGCGUCUGAUUAGCUAGUUGGUGAGGUAAAAGCCCACCAAGGCAACGAUCAGUAGCCGGCCUGAGAGGGUGAACGGCCACAUUGGGACUGAGACACGGCCCAGACUCCUACGGGAGGCAGCAG